CGUGAGCCACGAUGCUCGGCCUAUAUCUCAUUUCUUCAUCCCCUUAGACAAGCAGAAGAAAAAUAACUUUCUGAAUCCACCCAGGAAUCAGCUUAUUCAGACCAGAUCAAUUGUUAAUAGCAAUAAUACAGAAACACUUACACAUCAAUUUGGCUUUACUUGUACAGAAAGAGCCGGGCAUAGUGGCUCACACCUGUAAUCCCAGCACUUUGGGAUCGCUUGAGGCUAGGAGUUUGAGAUCAGCC
This 245-nucleotide long non-coding RNA is filed under the name Homo sapiens (human). Its description in RNAcentral is "non-protein coding lnc-FZD7-1:1". Lineage: Eukaryota; Metazoa; Chordata; Mammalia; Primates; Hominidae. The record is from RNAcentral.